RNAcentral lists this small RNA (21 nucleotides) under Karenia brevis. RNAcentral's name for it is "trans-spliced leader sequence SL". The record is from RNAcentral. Lineage: Eukaryota; Dinophyceae; Gymnodiniales; Kareniaceae.
CCGUAGCCAUUUUUUUUCAAG